Molecule: long non-coding RNA, 1263 nt
Organism: Dermacentor andersoni
Lineage: Eukaryota; Metazoa; Arthropoda; Arachnida; Ixodida; Ixodidae
Source: RefSeq, a predicted model, not a curated record
UGUACCACUGUCCGCCAUAUACAUAGAAUUACUUUUGCAGUGGCUGUGAAGCAUAGCAGAAAAAGAAAUAGCAUUGUGCAUGUCAGCAACUAAAGGCUAAAACAUUUCCUGUGAGCUACAUGUUAGCGCGCUCAAAGGUGUGAUGCGUGUCAUGCCCUGUACGAGCGCCUCAGUUACUGUGCCGAUUCGUUUUAAGUGCUUUGUGGAGGAUCGCUCGCCAAGCAAAUGCUUAUUAGUGCAUUUCGCUCAUAUGACAGCAAAUCCAGGGGCACAUUACUAGACUGUUUUCUAAUCCGAAAACAACAGUCCGCUGUUGCACAUUUACAGUGGUUUGCAGCACAUGAAGUAAUGGAGGCAGUUUACAGCCUUGUCGUGCAUAGAGAUUCCUCAGGUCUCUGCACGAUAUAAAAACCAGUUGUACUUUACCGCUUUCAGAUACUAGACAAGACGUUCGAUGAGUAUGUGGAUCUCUCUCCUGAGGACACUAUCCCAGGCUUAUCGAAAAUUUUACUGCGCCCACAAGUGGACAGUGAGCAGCAGUGUGCGUCAACAUCGACUGAGCACAUUGCGGCGAGCAGUAUGGUGGCCAGUGGCAGCGACGAUCAUGAAAAUGGCCUUGGAAUUUCCUUCGAUCUGUUCCCAACUCGUACUUUCUAUUCAAGGGUGACCUCACUUUUGCUUGAGAAAUACCCGCAGCUGAAGGACGUAGUAGGAAGUGGAGCUGACUCCUGGAAGGUAGCCUUGCUCUACAGAUUCAAGAAUCAGCGAAGGGUUCUUCCGUGCGAUGGUCGCGAGGGGGCGAGAACCGUGCAAAGUUUGGAUCACGCAGGAAGGGCGGGGAAGAAACAGCCACGGUGGAGCUCCAGCGGCACAAAGUGCAAAAGAUGGAUGUUGCUAUCUCUACAAUAGCCGGAGAAGAAAAAAGUUUUGAAAUGCACACGGAGUGGCUCAGCUGUGAAUCGCGCAAAGGCUCUCCUGACGAGGAUCAAAUCAAUGAAAGGAUGGCCUCGACAUGGCGCCAAGAAAUUUCUGACGUCGCAACAAAUAGUAUUCAUGAGGCGAAGAGGAAGUACCCAUACAUGAUGAGCUUUGAGCGGUUUUGCAGUGACUUUGCAAGACUAACUAAGAUUGACCCUUCACCUUGUAUUGCAAAAGGGAUCAACAAAAUUGUGAAAAUGGCAGAAAUGAAACGCAUCCCUUGCGAAGCAAGUGUAAUGGUAUCACUUGAACAGGCUCGUGAGAUAUCACCGGAGAGGCUGCGAA